This 280-nucleotide ribosomal RNA is filed under the name uncultured bacterium. RNAcentral's name for it is "partial 16S ribosomal RNA". It matches the Rfam family "Bacterial small subunit ribosomal RNA", at positions 1066 to 1343 of the family's 1533-position model. The record is from RNAcentral.
CGUGAGAUGUUGGGUUAAGUCCCGCAACGAGCGCAACCCCUAUCUUCUGUUACCAGCACGUGAUGGUGGGGACUCAGGAGAGACUGCCGCAGACAAUGCGGAGGAAGGCGGGGAUGACGUCAAGUCAUCAUGCCCCUUAUGGCUUGGGCUACACACGUACUACAAUGGCUCUUAAUAGAGGGAAGCGAAAGGGCGACCUGGAGCAAACCCCAAAAACAGAGUCCCAGUUUCGGAUUGCAGGCUGCAACCCGCCUGCAUGAAGCGGAAUCGUCUAGUAAUC